Molecule: long non-coding RNA, 215 nt
Filed under: Lathyrus oleraceus (garden pea)
Lineage: Eukaryota; Viridiplantae; Streptophyta; Magnoliopsida; Fabales; Fabaceae
Description: Pisum sativum (pea) long non-coding RNA (PSAT_LNC039394)
Source: RNAcentral
AGAAGUGGGUUGAGUGGUCUCCAAAGAAUGACUUAAACAAAAAUAAAGCAAAAGAAAUACUAACUUCUAAUCAACUAACAACUAAAAUUUAAUUUCAAGUCAUUUACUCUUAUGCACUUUAAUUUCAAGCUUUUAUUCAUUUGCCAUUAUUCAUACCAUUCAAAUUAUUUACUUUAAUGUCAUUUUUACUUUGCCCAUUUGGGCUAUAAUUUGUG